This is a long non-coding RNA of Equus caballus (horse), 2957 nucleotides long. The record is from Ensembl. Lineage: Eukaryota; Metazoa; Chordata; Mammalia; Perissodactyla; Equidae.
CGCCCCUCCACGCUUCUGCCUUGACCCUCACCACGCCCGCCAACCCGCCCCGCCUCCCCUUCAACGCGCCACUCCCUCCCCCACCACUCCGUGCCACGCCCGCUCUCCACGCCCUGCCCCCGUGGGAAUGUGCAAUGGGGCGGGCAGCGCGCCUUGAGGCUGGCGCCCUGGUAGGGGUGGGCUGACCAGCCUGAUGGGGGCUGAGACUGCCUGGAACCCAAACGGAAGCUCCCUGGCCUAUGUUUGAAACCGUGAAUUCACCGGCUAGAAUGGAAAUGCCAGGUACCUGGGAACCUGGAAGUUGCCUUUUCAAUGCUGCCUUUCCCGUUCUCCCCUCCAUCCCUCUGGCUGCAACGAUCCUCCCUCUGGAACCCCUGGUCAGGCUCACUUCAGAGUGCCCCUUGGACCCUGCCUGGCUGAACCAUCCACACCUUGGUCAGGCAUCUUGGAAGGACUGCCCCAGCCGUGUUAUAAAAGGAGAAAACGUCACAGUGGGCAGCCCCAUUCCUGCGUUAUCCAGACAGGAAACUCAGGUGCUCAGGUCAGUGAUGCCCCCCCAAGCUGCUUUGGGGACCACACCCACACCGCUUCUCUGACGGCCCACACAGGCUGGUUCACCGCAUCCUUGUCCCACUGUGGGCCUCUUGACCUAAUCAACACAGGCAACAGGACCAGAAGUUCCCAGCAGUACCCCCAAAAUGUUAGGGAAGUUUGUGUAGGAAGGUGUUACACAACUUCAGCAUUUCUGCUCUACAAUGCAGCUCCUUUGGAACCACUUUUAACAUCCCUUUUUAAAUAUCCCUUUGGAACCGAGUUUAAUAAUUUGUUGCUGUUGGGAGUUACAAUAAUUCUGUUAAGUCAUUUUCCCAUUUAGUUUCUCUGAUAAUUCCGAGUUCUACAUUACUACCUGCCUCUCAGAUGAGUGCUGGCAGCCCCAGUUCUGUACAGGGAGGAUGCAAAACGGCAGAAUAUCUGUGGUGCAACUUUCUGGAGCAUCAGUUUACUACAAGAUUUGGAAGAAUAAGUUAAGUAAUUUCCAAGGUGCUGGAGAUAGUCCUGAACAGCACAGCUUAGGGUCCUGUGCCAUGAAGGAGCCUACACACUAGUCCUGGGAGAUGAGACAAGCAACAAGCAAGUAAAUCCUGGAAAGAUCAAGGUCACUUCAGAUGGUGAUGAAGCAGAGUCAUGUGAUUGAGAGAGCCCACAGGUCUGGGUGGGCCAUGGUCACCCUGGUUUAGAUUGGCUGGUCGGGGUAGGUCUCCCUAAGGAGGUAAGAUUCGAGUUUUCCAGGUAGGAGGUACACAGGAAGAAUGAAACCGUGAGGGUGGGAGCCCAUCUGAGUGCUGUGGCUGCCAGCCUGGAAAAGUGACUGAUGGGGAGAAAGGUAUCAGGUGAGUUCAGAGAGGGGGCCGAGGCCAGAUCACUUGCCUAACACUUUUAGCAUCUAAAUGUCAACAUAGGCACUUAAAGAUCACAAUCUGGGGGCCGGCCCUGUAGCUUAGUGGUGCAGUUCGGCAUGCUCUCCUUUGGUGGCCCAGACUUGGUUCCUGGGUGUCGAUUUACACCACUCAUCAGCCAUGCUGUGCUGGUGACCCACAUACGAAAUAGAGGAAGAUUGGCAACAGAUAUUGGCUCAGGGUGAAUCUUCCUCAGCAAAAACAAAAAAGCAAAUCACAAUCUGUUUUCAAAACUAUAAAGCAAAGUUGAGGUCUAUCCCAGUGGGGUGUUUUCUGUAGACCUACAUUGUUGGAAAUGCCUCAUAGAGUAAUUACGUGGUUUCCUUUACUCACAGAACUAUGUGUUAGAUCUGUGGGAAAGAAGUACAACACAGAGCUGCUAAAACUAUGAAAGACUUAAUGGUCAGUUUUUUUUUAAUCUUUGGCAUUGGUGUAUCCCGAGAUCUGUACUGUUCUAGGGUGAUAGCUUAGGAGUGAGUAUGAUUUGAACUUGCUCAUGUUUACAGGGUAUACAAUACUGAGAACCAGUUAGAUCCAUCGACUCUGACCCUAAAUGUGGCCCUAAGGUAAACUGGUUGAAGAAAUUGGAUCCUAAAGAUUACAGGUGGAGAAUUUUUAAAGGAUGUCCAUAUUCGAGGGAAGACCAAAGAAUCCCAACUGAAAGAAUUGUGAACUGACUGACAUGAUAGCCACGGAUUGAGCACAAUUUCUUUUUAAAAGGGCUGUCUUGAAGAUUAUGACUCAAACUUUGGAGGAACUAAGUUCACAGAAAUGGGGAAAUGAAAGUGCUACUGCUAUUGAGAAAACGUUAAAACCAGUGAGGAUUUAUCCAAAGAACAUGAAAACACGAAUGCAUAAAGAUACAUGCACCCCUAUGUUCAUCGCAGCAUUAUUCACAACAGCCAAGACUCGGAAACAACCUAGGUGCCCAUCAAGAGAUGAAUGGAUAAAGAAGAUGUGGUAUAUACACAAUGGAAUACUAAGCCACAAAAAAGGAGGAAAUCUGGCCAUUUGUGACAACAUGGAUGGAACUUGAGGGCAUUAUGCUAUAAGCAAAGUAAGUCAGAGGGAGAAAGUCAAAUACCAUAUGAUCUCAGUUGUAAGUAGAAGAUAAAAACAAUGACAAACAAUCACACAGGGACAAAGAUUGGAUUGGUGGUUACCAGAGGGGAAGCGGGGAGGGAGGAGAUCGAAAGGGGUGAUCAGGCACGUGGGUGUGGUGCUGGAUUGCAGUUAGUCUCUGGGUGGUGAACGUGAUGUAAUCUGCAUAGAAAUCGAAAUAUAAUGAUGUACACCUGGAAUUUGUAUAAUGUUAUAAACCAAUGUUAAUGCCAUAAAAAGAGACAAAAAGAGAGAGGAAAAACCAGUGGGUUAUCCAAAACUUUGUCCUCAAUCAAGUGCCAGUUGGACCAAUCUCAACCGAAUAAUUAGUCAUGAAGAAAACAAACUAUUUUGCAACACCGUUAGCUCUCAGGAGACAGACUUGAACCACCACCCAUA